This 28-nucleotide non-coding RNA is filed under the name Homo sapiens (human). The record is from RNAcentral. Lineage: Eukaryota; Metazoa; Chordata; Mammalia; Primates; Hominidae.
UGAACAGUACAGUUUGGGGGUCCUUGUU